GGAGGGUAAGUCCAAAACUAACUUUUUAAAAGUAACUUAUAUAGUCUGUAAAGUUCAGUUCCUUUAAUGCGACAAAAUAGUUUAUGAGUAUACUAUCUCACUUGCUUACAAUAUGUAGUCCAUACAAACUGUACUAAAAUAAAUUCAAACAAAAUCAGGACCUAAACAAACUAUUUUUGAUCAAAUUGAACAUUAGAACUUGAAGCCUCAUAGCAUCA
This 218-nucleotide long non-coding RNA is filed under the name Solanum tuberosum (potato). Its description in RNAcentral is "long non-coding RNA (STUB_LNC008020)". Lineage: Eukaryota; Viridiplantae; Streptophyta; Magnoliopsida; Solanales; Solanaceae. The record is from RNAcentral.